RNAcentral lists this non-coding RNA (75 nucleotides) under uncultured Mediterraneibacter sp. Lineage: Bacteria; Bacillati; Bacillota; Clostridia; Lachnospirales; Lachnospiraceae. The record is from RNAcentral.
ACUGCUAUCGGAAGGCAGCACUGAACAUGCAGAAGUCAGCAGAGGUCAUAGUAGCUGUUGUUUUUUCAGCAAAGG